GACAGAGGGUGCAAACGUUGUUCGGAAUUACUGGGCGUAAAGCGAGUGUAGGCGGUUCGCUAAGUCGGGUGUGAAAGCCCCAGGCUCAACCUGGGAAGUGCACUCGAAACUGGCGGGCUAGAGUAUCGGAGAGGUUGGUGGAAUUCUCGGUGUAGAGGUGAAAUUCGUAGAUAUCGAGAGGAACACCGGUGGCGAAGGCGGCCAACUGGACGAAUACUGACGCUGAGACUCGAAAGCGUGGGG
This 243-nucleotide ribosomal RNA is filed under the name uncultured prokaryote. RNAcentral describes it as "partial 16S ribosomal RNA". It matches the Rfam family "Bacterial small subunit ribosomal RNA", at positions 524 to 766 of the family's 1533-position model. The record is from RNAcentral.